AGCUCCAAUAGCGUAUAUUAAAGUUGUUGCAGUUAAAAAGCUCGUAGUUGGAUUUCUGGUGGGAGGGAUCAGUCCGACACUAUGUGUGGGAACUCGUAUCCUCUCCGGCCAUCCUUGGGUGGAUCCUGUCUGGCAUUAGGUUGUCGGGUAGGGGAUGCCCAUCGUUUACUGUGAAAAAAUUAGAGUGUUCAAAGCAGGCUUAUGCCAUUGAAUAUAUUAGCAUGGAAUAAUAAGAUAGGGCCCUGGUACUAUUUUGUUGGUUUGCGUACCGGUGUAAUGAUUAAUAGGGACAGUUGGGGGUAUUCGUAUUCAGUAUUCAGUGGUGAAAUACUUGGAUCUACGGAAGACGAACUACUGCGAAAGCAUUUACCAAGGAUGUUUUCAUUA
RNAcentral lists this ribosomal RNA (387 nucleotides) under Chaetoceros sp. RNAcentral describes it as "partial small subunit ribosomal RNA". It matches the Rfam family "Eukaryotic small subunit ribosomal RNA", at positions 587 to 975 of the family's 1831-position model. RNAcentral also lists the same sequence under 1 other name. Lineage: Eukaryota; Bacillariophyta; Thalassiosirophyceae; Chaetocerotales; Chaetocerotaceae. The record is from RNAcentral.